This 391-nucleotide unclassified non-coding RNA is filed under the name soil metagenome. RNAcentral's name for it is "partial contains 5.8S ribosomal RNA, internal transcribed spacer 2, and large subunit ribosomal RNA". The stretch from base 1 to 122 matches the Rfam family "5.8S ribosomal RNA", at positions 35 to 154 of the family's 154-position model. The record is from RNAcentral.
GAUGAAGAACGUAGCGAAAUGCGAUACUUGGUGUGAAUUGCAGAAUCCCGUGAACCAUCGAGUCUUUGAACGCAAGUUGCGCCCGAAGCCAUUAGGCCGAGGGCACGCCUGCCUGGGCGUCACACGUCGUUGCCCCCCCAUCUACUCCUUCGGGAUUGCGGGGGGCGGAUGAUGGCCUCCCGUGCGCCUCGUCGCGCGGUUGGCCUAAAUGCCAAGUCCUCGGCGACGCACGCCACGACAAUCGGUGGUUGCGAAACCUCGGUUGCCUGUCGUGUGCGGUCGUCGCGCAACGAGGGCUCGAAAAAAUUGCCGGGCUUCGGCUCGACUUUCAACGCGACCCCAGGUCAGGCGGGGUUACCCGCUGAAUUUAAGCAUAUCAAUAAGCGGAGGA